RNAcentral lists this small RNA (714 nucleotides) under Pan troglodytes (chimpanzee). RNAcentral's name for it is "retained intron". The record is from RNAcentral. Lineage: Eukaryota; Metazoa; Chordata; Mammalia; Primates; Hominidae.
AGAAGGAAGUCGGACAGCAAGUCCUUACCCAGGCUGGGCCCCACCCCGGCCUCCCAGCUCGCUCCCAUCCCAUCUCUCCCAGCUGUGUUUGUUUAGUCUCGUCUGGAUAUUUUCGUUGGCCCUUCCCAUGUAUCCUCCCUCCCCAGCUGACUGUCAAUGGGAGGACCCCCAGCCUAGUUCAGGACUCUGCAGAAAUGGCGGGGGUCAGUAUCCCCAAGUUGUGAACUGCAAACUGGCUGAGAACCAAGGUGGCCACCCCUGCCCCCAACCCCCCUCCACUUACCUGCCCCAGAACCAAGGCCUGUGCCGGUAACGCCUCCCCGACCCUGCCCUGCAGGUGAACGGGGUCUGCAUGGAGGGGAAGCAGCAUGGGGACGUGGUGUCCGCCAUCAGAGCUGGCGGGGACGAGACCAAGCUGCUGGUGGUGGACAGGGAAACCGACGAGUUCUUCAAGAAAUGCAGAGUGACCCCAUCUCAGGAGCACCUGAAUGGUCCCCUGCCUGUGCCCUUCACCAAUGGGGAGAUACAGAAGGAGAACAGUCGUGAAGCCCUGGCAGAGGCAGCCUUGGAGAGCCCCAGGCCAGCCCUGGUGAGAUCCGCCUCCAGUGACACCAGCGAGGAGCUGAAUUCCCAAGACAGCCCCCCAAAACAGGACUCCACAGCGCCCUCGUCUACCUCCUCCUCCGACCCCAUCCUAGACUUCAACAUCUCCCU